CCGAACGUAAUAUCGCCUGGUCAUCACCGCGACGGGAGACAGGAAGCCGGUGCGAAUCCGGCACGGUCCCGCCACUGUGACCGGGGAGUGCACCCUUCGACAUGCCACUGCGCACGCGCGCGGGAAGGCCGGGGGAACGUCGAUCCGGGAGUCAGGACACUGGCCUGUCGCGGGCCCGUUCC
Molecule: non-coding RNA, 182 nt
Filed under: Streptomyces abyssalis
Lineage: Bacteria; Bacillati; Actinomycetota; Actinomycetes; Kitasatosporales; Streptomycetaceae
Source: RNAcentral